CAGUAGCCACGGUAAUACGUAGGGUCCGAGCGUUGUCCGGAAUUAUUAGGCGUAAAGGGCUCGUAGGCGGUUUGUUGCGUCGGGAGUGAAAACCCAGGGCUUAACUUUGGGCUUGCUUUCGAUACGGGCAGACUUGAGGCAUUGAGGGGAGAACGGAAUUCCUGGUGUAGCGGUGAAAUGCGCAGAUAUCAGGAGGAACACCGGUGGCGAAGGCGGUUCUCUGGCAAUGUUCUGACGCUGAGGAGCGAAAGUGUGGGGAGCGAACAGGAUUAGAUACCCCCGUAGUCCCUGUCUCUUAUAC
RNAcentral lists this ribosomal RNA (301 nucleotides) under uncultured bacterium. RNAcentral's name for it is "partial 16S ribosomal RNA". It matches the Rfam family "Bacterial small subunit ribosomal RNA", at positions 509 to 807 of the family's 1533-position model. The record is from RNAcentral.